GGGUCGUUAGCUCAGGUGGCAGAGCACCUGACUUUUAAUCAGGGUGUCACAGGUUCGACUCCUGUACGACCCA
Molecule: transfer RNA, 73 nt
Filed under: Bacillota bacterium
Lineage: Bacteria; Bacillati; Bacillota
Description: Firmicutes bacterium (hot springs metagenome) tRNA-Lys
Rfam family: tRNA
About the family: Transfer RNA (tRNA) molecules are approximately 80 nucleotides in length. Their secondary structure includes four short double-helical elements and three loops (D, anti-codon, and T loops).
Source: RNAcentral